ACGCUAGCUACAGGCUUAACACAUGCAAGUCGAGGGGCAGCAUGGAAGAAGCUUGCUUCUUCUGAUGGCGACCGGCGCACGGGUGCGUAACGCGUAUCAAACCUGCCUCAUACUCGGGGAUAGCCUUGCGAAAGUAAGAUUAAUACCCGAUGUUGUUAUGUUACCGCAUGGUGAUAUAACCAAAGAUUUAUCGGUAUGAGAUGGUGAUGCGUCCGAUUAGGUAGUAGGCGGGGUAACGGCCCACCUAGCCUUCGAUCGGUAGGGGUUCUGAGAGGAAGGUCCCCCACACUGGAACUGAGACACGGUCCAGACUCCUACGGGAGGCAGCAGUGAGGAAUAUUGGUCAAUGGACGCAAGUCUGAACCAGCCAAGUAGCGUGCAGGAUGACGGCCCUCCGGGUUGUAAACUGCUUUUAGUUGGGAAUAAAAAAGAGGACGUGUCCUCUAUUGUAUGUACCUUCAGAAAAAGGACCGGCUAAUUCCGUGCCAGCAGCCGCGGUAAUACGGAAGGUCCAGGCGUUAUCCGGAUUUAUUGGGUUUAAAGGGAGCGUAGGCGGAUUAUUAAGUCAGUGGUGAAAGACGGUGGCUCAACCAUCGUUAGCCAUUGAAACUGGUAGUCUUGAGUGCAGACAGGGAUGCUGGAACUCGUGGUGUAGCGGUGAAAUGCUUAGAUAUCACGAUGAACUCCGAUCGCGAAGGCAGGUGUCCGGGCUGCAACUGACGCUGAGGCUCGAAAGUGUGGGUAUCAAACAGGAUUAGAUACCCUGGUAGUCCACACAGUAAACGAUGUAUACUCGCGGUUUGCGAUAUAAUGUAAGCCGCCAAGCGAAAGCAUUAAGUAUACCACCUGGGGAGUACGCCGGCAACGGUGAAACUCAAAGGAAUUGACGGGGGCCCGCACAAGCGGAGGAA
Molecule: ribosomal RNA, 911 nt
Filed under: uncultured bacterium
Lineage: Bacteria
Description: bacterial SSU rRNA
Rfam family: Bacterial small subunit ribosomal RNA
Source: RNAcentral